UGCUGCUCAUUGCCUUUUGCUUUACAGAAUAAACGUCUGCUAGUGUCUAGUCCCUGACUUUGUGCUGAUGAUUUGUGUCCUAAAGCUUUUCCUUUAAUAUCUGCAAAACUGUUUGUCUGCCUGUAGUGUUCCUGCAGCAUCUGACAUGACAUACUGUACUCUGGACAAUUCACCAAAAUAAGGAACAGUUUUCAGAGAUGAUGAGUACAGAUCUGCAGGAUGCUGCUACCUUGCUGGCGUGUUGCCCUGCACUCUACAGAAUGUUUAUUUGAAGAUAUCAUUGACUGGCUUUCAAAGAGCUCAAAUAAGGGAGAUUUAUAACUUGGUGAAAUUUUAAUCUUGUCUCUUUUUUUUUUAUUAUUCUUUGGUAAAGCAAUCCAUAAAUGUAUGUGUGAUCUCCGCCAUGAAAGGUGUUGAACACAAGACUGUUUGAUGAGAAUGUUCCUGAUGCUCACAGACAGAGUACUCUGUCUAGUGUUCUACUGCUUUUCUAACAUCGGCAGCUGAAUCAAGUAACAGCGUCUCUUUCCUACCUUUCUGGUCCCUGGUGUCUCUUGCCUGAGCGUCGACCUAAGGGAUUUUUCCAUAGGAUCAAGUGAAACCGCAUGAAAGGUGAUUUACAACAAGCAGCAGGUGUUCUGUACAAAGCUGUAGGCUGUUUUGAGGUGUGUCAGCACAGAAUAUGAAUAUCCAUCAUAGAUACCAUCUGUUAAUUCACUGCUGUGUCACAGAAUUCCUAGAGCCUGCCUUCUAAACUGCAGAGGAUUUGAAAGGAGGAGUUUCAAGAUGGAGAGUCUGUACAGGAAUCCCUGCAUGCAGACUGCAAGGCAGGACAGACCUCAGUGCCAGGCUGUUCUAUUUUAACAGCGAGGCCAGAAUACCCUUUUAGAGACCGCAUUUGAUUGGACCUAGUCACUGUUCAACUAACAAUUCUGUCUGGCCCCUUCAUUUGGAUAAAAUGGUGGAGUUAGAACUUCUGUCAGUGUCCUAUUGUGAAAGAUGUCAAAUUUGAUCGCCACAAAGGUUCUGUUAUCUUAUCAGAGGCAGUCUGUGUGGUAUAAAACCACUAAACCCACUAUGCAAUGUCUUAUUAAAUGAAUGACAAAAUUUA
Long non-coding RNA from Rana temporaria (common frog), 1111 nucleotides. RefSeq lists it as uncharacterized. The transcript has 6 exons. Lineage: Eukaryota; Metazoa; Chordata; Amphibia; Anura; Ranidae. The record is from RefSeq and is a predicted model, not a curated record.